This 468-nucleotide ribosomal RNA is filed under the name uncultured bacterium. RNAcentral's name for it is "partial 16S ribosomal RNA". It matches the Rfam family "Bacterial small subunit ribosomal RNA", at positions 28 to 507 of the family's 1533-position model. The record is from RNAcentral.
GAUGAACGCUGGCGGCGUGCUUAACACAUGCAAGUCGAACGGACAGGCCCUGAUUUUGUGGGGUGCUCGAGUGGCGAACGGGUGAGUAACACGUGAGUAACCUGCCCUUGACUUUGGGAUAACUUCUGGAAACUGGGGCUAAUACAGGGUAUGAGCUCCUGCUGCAUGGUGGGGGUUGGAAAGUUUCGGCGGUUGGGGAUGGACUCGCGGCUUAUCAGCUUGUUGGUGGGGUAGUGGAAUACCAAGGCUUUGACGGGUAGCCGGCCUGAGAGGGUGAACGGCCACAUUGGGACUGAGAGACGGCCCAGACUCCUACGGGAGGCAGCAGUGGGGAAUAUUGCACAAUGGGCGGAAGCCUGAUGCAGCAACGCCGCGUGCGGGAUAACGGGUUUCGGGUUGUAAACCGCUUUCGCCUGUGACGAAGCGUGAUUGACGGUAAUGGGUAAAGAAGCACCGGCUAACUACGUG